Molecule: ribosomal RNA, 429 nt
Filed under: Actinomycetes bacterium
Lineage: Bacteria; Bacillati; Actinomycetota; Actinomycetes
Description: Actinobacteria bacterium partial 16S ribosomal RNA
Rfam family: Bacterial small subunit ribosomal RNA
Source: RNAcentral
UAGGGAAUCUUCCGCAAUGGGCGAAAGCUUGACGGAGCAACGCCGCGUGAGUGAUGAAGGUCUUCGGAUCGUAAAACUCUGUUAUUAGGGAAGAACAAAUGUGUAAGUAACUAUGCACGUCUUGACGGUACCUAAUCAGAAAGCCACGGCUAACUACGUGCCAGCAGCCGCGGUAAUACGUAGGUGGCAAGCGUUAUCCGGAAUUAUUGGGCGUAAAGCGCGCGUAGGCGGUUUUUUAAGUCUGAUGUGAAAGCCCACGGCUCCACCGUGGAGGGUCAUUGGAAACUGGAAAACUUGAGUGCAGAAGAGGAAAGUGGAAUUCCAUGUGUAGCGGUGAAAUGCGCAGAGAUAUGGAGGAACACCAGUGGCGAAGGCGACUUUCUGGUCUGUAACUGACGCUGAUGUGCGAAAGCGUGGGGAUCAAACAGG